UCCAGACCUGCAGCACAUAUAUUAAUUAGGAAUGAUACAGAGAAUGUUAGAUGACCUCUGGGCAAGGAUGACAAAAAGAUUUGUGAAGAGUUCCAUAUUUUU
Rattus norvegicus (Norway rat) is the source of this 102-nucleotide small nuclear RNA. The record is from Ensembl. NCBI's taxonomy places the organism in Eukaryota, Metazoa, Chordata, Mammalia, Rodentia, Muridae.